CUCUGGCUGUGGGACCGCCUGUUUCCUGCCUGUGAAGUGGGCAGAGUCCAGACUCUGAGGGUGCCGCUCCCAGGCUGCUGCCCCGACAGCACAGCCGAGCGCCACACCUGCCUCUCUCCCAGGCCCCCUCCCCUCCUCCGUCCCGCCGGGGUGGAAGAGCUGGCGGCUCUUCGCUUCCAGGCUGCGGUCGCCUCCUCCUCGGCUGCGGACUGGCAGGGGCUGAGGGCUCGGAGCCGCUUUCCGCACGCGCCGAUCCCGCCCGGGACGGCAGGGGACCCGAGUGUGCGGCGCUUCCCGCUCGCCGGGCAGCCUCGCCCCGGCCUGCCCCUCCGACAGCCCAUAAAUAUUCCCGAGGCCCGGAGGGGUCAGAAAACGCCUUUCCAGCGCGCCUUCUGGCUCCAGCCCACCUUUCCCCGCGCGGAACCCUGUGAGGAAAGGCCUGGAAACCCGUCACCAUCGCGACCGCCAACCCUCGCCCUGCGCAGCCCGAGGGCGCAAGCGUGGGCUCCUGGGGGUGGGUGCGGCAGGGAAGGCGGACACAGACCCAAGAGUUGCUUGGGUUUCCCUGGGAGGCAGAGGCACCUGGAAGACCAGCCCAGAGCUGAAGAUCUGAGAUGACAGAUUGGCAGCAUCCUGGCUCAGAGCAGCUGCAGCAGGUAUCCAGGCAUGGGAGCAGGCAGGCAUCUUGGGACAACAGGAUCAGAUGCAUGUGAGUAAAGCCGUGGGAUUCCGGUAGGACCUAGAUGAAGGAGCCAUGACUGAUGUCAUCACACCCUUCUCUUCGCCCAGAUGAAAGUCCAGUGAGCCACCUGUGUUUAUGCAGCAAGCUCAUGGCAAGGCAUUUUGGCUGACAGGAAGAGCAGGAACAAAGUGAUCAAGACUCCCAUGUUCAACACAGGUGACCUGAGUCUGCAAUGAGGUAAAGCAUGGGAAAACAUCUAGUCCAAUGGAAUAUAGUAGAUGCUUAAUAAAAUUUAUUGAGCAUCAGACCUUAUGCUGAGAAGCAAUGGUCACACACAGUGUCUUCCCUUGAGCUCAGCCUGGGGAGAGAAAGAGAUGGGUACAGAAACAUUCCUGGCCUAUGCAGAGAUAAAGGACAGCACAGGGACUAUGGGACCCAGAGGAAGAUGGGAUUGAACUUUUAUCAAGAACAGGCUCUGUACUCAGUAGUGAACUUGGGGAGAAGGGUAUAUUAGGAAGCCUUCAUGGAGGAGGUGACUUUGCACUGGCACUGUUUUUUUGUUUGUUUGUUUUGUUUUGUUUGAGAUGAAGUCUUGCUCUGUUUUCCAGUCUAGAGUGCAGUGGCACCAUCUCGUCUCAUUGCAAUCUCCACUUCCUAGUUUGAGCGAUUCUCCUGCCUCAGCCUCCUGAGUAGCUGGGACUACAGACAUGUGCCACCAUGCCUGGCAAUUUUUUUGAUUUUAGUAGAGACAGGGUUUCACCAUGUUGACCAGGCUGGUCCCGAACUCCUGGCCUCAAGUGAUCCACCCGCUUUGGCCUCUCAAAGUGCUGGGAUUAUAGGUGUAACCCACCAUGCCCAACCUGCACUGGUUUUUAAGCCAAGGAGAAAGAGAAAGUUAUUGCAAGCAGAGGCAAGAAUAUAUAUUGGUCGGUGCAGAAGUAAUUGCGGUUUUUGCCAUUGAAUGUAACGGGAAAAAAAAUCGCAAUUUUGCAUCAACCUAAUACAAAGCCACAGCAUUGGGGAAAGUAUGGAACGUUUAAGGAGCUGGUGAGUAUUUUGCUGUAUAGGAAAUGGGGCAUCAGACAUCAGCAGAGGCCUGGAUGGGAAGGACCUUGAAUUCUAGCUCAGGAGCAAGCAUGGACAGCAAGGGCAGUGAGGAACCAUGAAAGGUUUCUGAGCAAGAGAAUGAUGUGGUCAGAAUCCAUUAGAGAAGGAAACAUCUUGCAUUCAUCAAGUCAUCUGGAGAGACCUGGGGGUGGUGGAACUCUUAGCUUGCUUCAACCCACUGGGAUUUAUUUAGGUCAAAGCCGGGCCCCUGGGACUUGUGGCCUCUUCCAAGAUGAACAGUAGGUGGCGCUGCAGCUCUGUGUAUACAGCCUCCAGGGCUACCUGCCCUUACCUGGGUGGGUCAGACCCUUGUCCUGCUUGGCCCUGGGGCUUGGACCCCAUCACCAGUGAUGAGACUUGGAGGGGUGGGGUGGGGAUGGGCUUUGCUCCUACCCCAGAAGCAGGGAAGGCCUUGCUUUACAGAGCCACAGGAUGUGUGAGCAGAGAGGCCCUCCAGGGCUCUUCUGGCCCAUGUCCUAUUUCAUGUGUGGGUAAACUGAGGC
This 2292-nucleotide long non-coding RNA is filed under the name Callithrix jacchus (white-tufted-ear marmoset). RNAcentral's name for it is "lncRNA (ENSCJAG00000074924.1)". The record is from RNAcentral. Lineage: Eukaryota; Metazoa; Chordata; Mammalia; Primates; Cebidae.